This 326-nucleotide long non-coding RNA is filed under the name Elaeis guineensis (African oil palm). Its description in RNAcentral is "long non-coding RNA (EGUI_LNC076521)". Lineage: Eukaryota; Viridiplantae; Streptophyta; Magnoliopsida; Arecales; Arecaceae. The record is from RNAcentral.
GGUGUAGUCAAGUACUUGACUUGUCGGUGCAUGUGUCAAGAUGGGAUUGACCACUCCAGUUUAGGAGCUAUGUACAGUCGUAUUUCAAUUUAGCAAAACCUUGGCCAGGAUAGUCUUUGUGAGGAGUCACAAGACUAUUUGAGUUGAGCAUGAUUCGGAUGAUCUAAUCAGGGUUGACAGUUUAACCCUGAGUCAUCCUAAACACAGAGGUCAAAAGGAUGAAUUAUACAGUAACCAUAUUCACGUAGGUUCUGAGUGUUGCGAUUGCGACCAUUCGACCUAUCCGAUCGUCGGGUACCAUUGCUAGAUGGUCACUUCGAUUAGUA